Molecule: long non-coding RNA, 1300 nt
Organism: Tarenaya hassleriana
Lineage: Eukaryota; Viridiplantae; Streptophyta; Magnoliopsida; Brassicales; Cleomaceae
Exons: 5
Source: RefSeq, a predicted model, not a curated record
UGUAUGUAUAAUCAGAUUUAACAAGUUGGUUAAGAAAAGAAAAAAAAUUACAAAUAGAUUAUGGCCCGACCCAUCUGCUCGAUCUCGUCCGGAAUGGCCAUUGCUUCCAGGGUUUCGAAGUUUCUGGCCUCCUGCUGAGGCUUCUCGAGAAGGUUCGGCCCUGUCUAGGAAGUAGGAACUCGAAGACGGUCGCUUACUUGGAGAGCCCGAUUCCGAUCUGAGGAACGUCAUCGAUGAAAAUGUAAGAAACUUUUCUCAUCUAUCGCCUUCAAUUUCUGGGUGAGUGGAAAAUGGAGACAGAAAUUGGGGUUUUAUUCUUCGAUGGAAUUGACUUUCCAAGGGUUGCAUUGAUAGGAUCCUCAACCUCUCAGAAUUCUUGGGUCGAUUCGUCCGGAGGAUUUAGCAAAUAGUAUUACCUGACCGGACUCGGAGUUUUAAGGGUUUUGUUCGAAUGUAAUGUGCUGUGCCAAGCUAGUUCUGUUGAGGUAGGUUAUUAGUUGCUGAGAGCCAAAGAUUGAUUCUUUGACUCCAAUAUAAUGCCGUGGUUUGCAUACGAAUCUAGAAAAGGAAAUUGUUUUGAUGAUACAUGGUCCUGUGGCAACUCUUCGAUCUUCAAUAUGCGGUUUCCUGUUGUUGUUGUUGUUGUUUUUUUUUUGGUGAAACUGACUCAGGACAGGAGGGGGGACUCACUGCCACUGGGCAAAGAAACUCGGUUGUGACUUUUGCAAAGAUUGUUCGGCAUUUCCUCUUGGGAUAGAUGGGAAAGAGUUCUUUCAGAUUUCGAUUCCUAAGAUAUGAGAUCUCCCUCCGUCCAUACAUUGCCGGGAAAUUUUUAAGAGAGCAGAGCAGAGCCUUCCAGGGACGUCUCAGCCACAGCUUGCGAAGGAACAGCUGCCCGUCUGAGAUUCACUUCCCAGGCAACAUGCACCAACCAUGACCCAAUACCACUUGCAAGUAAAUCAUCGCGAGGCUCAAUGCGGCAUUUUGAAAGCAUGAUUUAGGCUUCUUGAGGAAUAGAAUGGUUAAAGGCAGGAAUCUUUCAAGACGACAAUGGGAGAUCGAAGUAAGAUAUGAGUGUCGCUUUAGCACAACAGAACACAUGAAGUAUACGUUUUGAAAGAAAGGGCCUUUUCUUUCAAGGGGUUUGAACGGAAAAAAAAAAGGGCUUUAAAUAAAGAGAGAAUCAGUCAGUACAUUUGUAGAAUGAAUUCCAAAGGAAGAUAGCGAUUCCUUUCAUGGGAAUUGUUGGAUUUUGUCAUGCAGAAAGCCUAUUCAAUAUAAGCACGAAUACAUAUGAUGA